UACGGGGGGAGCAAGCGUUGUUCGGAUUUACUGGGCGUAAAGGGCGCGUAGGCGGCGCAACAAGUCACUUGUGAAAUCUCCGGGCUUAACCCGGAGCGGCCAAGUGAUACUGUCGUGCUAGAGUGCGGAAGGGGCUACUGGAAUUCUCGGUGUAGCGGUGAAAUGCGUAGAUAUCAAGAGGAACACCUGAGGUGAAGACGGGUUGCUGGUCUAACACUGACGCUGAGGCGCGAAAGCAUGGGGAGCGAACAGG
Molecule: ribosomal RNA, 253 nt
Filed under: uncultured bacterium
Lineage: Bacteria
Description: partial 16S ribosomal RNA
Rfam family: Bacterial small subunit ribosomal RNA
Source: RNAcentral